RNAcentral lists this ribosomal RNA (459 nucleotides) under uncultured bacterium. RNAcentral's name for it is "partial 16S ribosomal RNA". It matches the Rfam family "Bacterial small subunit ribosomal RNA", at positions 338 to 795 of the family's 1533-position model. The record is from RNAcentral.
CCUACGGGUGGCAGCAGUGAGGAAUAUUGGUCAAUGGGCGGAAGCCUGAACCAGCCAAGUAGCGUGCGGGAAGAAGGCCCUACGGGUCGUAAACCGCUUUUGCACGGGGAUAACACCCUCCACUUGUGGAGUUCUGCAGGUACCGUGCGAAUAAGAUCCGGCUACUUCCGUGCCAGCAGCCGCGGUAAUACGGAGGGCCCGAGCGUUAUCCGGAUUCAUUGGGGUUAAAGGGAGCGCAGGCGGGAGUUCAAGUCAGCGGUAAAAUCGCGCGGCUCAACCGCGCCCCGCCGUUGAAACUGGUCGCCUUGAGUGCACGAGAGGUAGGCGGAAUGCGUGGUGUAGCGGUGAAAUGCAUAGAUAUGACGCAGAACUUCGAUUGCGAAGGCAGCUUGCUGGCGCGCAACUGACGCUGAUGCUCGAAAGCGUGGGUAUCGAACAGGAUUAGAUACCCUGGUAGUC